GUCUACAACCAUGCCACCCUGAACAAGCCCUAUCCCAUCUGAUCUCAGAAGCUAAGCUGGGUCAGGCCUGGUUAGCACUAGGAUGGGAGACCAACUAGGAAAACCAGGUGCUGUAGGCG
RNAcentral lists this ribosomal RNA (119 nucleotides) under Pteropus alecto (black flying fox). Lineage: Eukaryota; Metazoa; Chordata; Mammalia; Chiroptera; Pteropodidae. The record is from RNAcentral.